RNAcentral lists this unclassified non-coding RNA (339 nucleotides) under Homo sapiens (human). RNAcentral describes it as "mutS homolog 5 (ENSG00000235569.12)". Lineage: Eukaryota; Metazoa; Chordata; Mammalia; Primates; Hominidae. The record is from RNAcentral.
GGCAGCUUUGUGCCAGCAGAGGAGGCCGAAAUUGGGGCAGUAGACGCCAUCUUCACACGAAUUCAUAGCUGCGAAUCCAUCUCCCUUGGCCUCUCCACCUUCAUGAUCGACCUCAACCAGGUGGCGAAAGCAGUGAACAAUGCCACUGCACAGUCGCUGGUCCUUAUUGAUGAAUUUGGAAAGGGAACCAACACGGUGGAUGGGCUCGCGCUUCUGGCCGCUGUGCUCCGACACUGGCUGGCACGUGGACCCACAUGCCCCCACAUCUUUGUGGCCACCAACUUUCUGAGCCUUGUUCAGCUACAACUGCUGCCACAAGGGCCCCUGGUGCAGUAUUUG